This 274-nucleotide ribosomal RNA is filed under the name uncultured bacterium. Its description in RNAcentral is "partial 16S ribosomal RNA". It matches the Rfam family "Bacterial small subunit ribosomal RNA", at positions 523 to 796 of the family's 1533-position model. The record is from RNAcentral.
AUACGGAGGGUGCAAGCGUUACUGGGAAUCACUGGGCGUAAAGCGCGCGCAGGCGGCUAUUUAAGUUGGAUGUGAAAGCCUACGGCUCAACCGUAGAACUGCAUCCAAAACUAUUUAGCUAGAGUGUGGGAGAGGAAGAUGGAAUUAGUUGUGUAGGGGUAAAAUCCGUAGAGAUAACUAGGAAUACCAAAAGCGAAGGCAAUCUUCUGGAACACUACUGACGCUGAGGCGCGAAAGCGUGGGGAGCAAACAGGAUUAGAAACCCUAGUAGUCC